GAUCAUGCUCAGAUUGAACGCUGGCGGCAGGCCUAACACAUGCAAGUCGAACGGUAACAGGAAGAAGCUUGCUUCUUUGCUGACGAGUGGCGGACGGGUGAGUAAUGUCUGGGAAACUGCCUGAUGGAGGGGGAUAACUACUGGAAACGGUAGCUAAUACCGCAUAACGUCGCAAGACCAAAGAGGGGGGACCUUCGGGCCGUCUUGCCAUCGGAUGUGCCCAGAUGGGAUUAGCUAGUAGGG
This 243-nucleotide ribosomal RNA is filed under the name uncultured bacterium. RNAcentral's name for it is "partial 16S ribosomal RNA". It matches the Rfam family "Bacterial small subunit ribosomal RNA", at positions 15 to 253 of the family's 1533-position model. The record is from RNAcentral.